This 61-nucleotide transfer RNA is filed under the name Nephaspis sp. DPP-2018. RNAcentral describes it as "tRNA-Arg". Lineage: Eukaryota; Metazoa; Arthropoda; Insecta; Coleoptera; Coccinellidae. The record is from RNAcentral.
AAAUAAGAAGCAAUUAUUUGCAUUUAGUUUCGACCUAAAAGUUUGGUUUUACCCUUAUUUU